This 845-nucleotide ribosomal RNA is filed under the name uncultured bacterium. Its description in RNAcentral is "bacterial SSU rRNA". It matches the Rfam family "Bacterial small subunit ribosomal RNA", at positions 1 to 860 of the family's 1533-position model. The record is from RNAcentral.
UUGGACUUUGGAUCAUGGUUCCAGGACGAACCGUUGGCCGGCGCGCUUAACACAUGCAAGUCGAGCGAAUGAAGUUUCUUCGGGGAACGGAUUUAGCGGCGGACGGGUGAGUAACACGGGGGCAACCUGCCUCAUCGAGGGGAAUAGCCUUCCGAAAGGGAGAUUAAUACCGCAUAAGAUUGUAGUUCCGCAUGGUACAGCAAUUAAAGGAGCAAUCCGCUAUGAGAUGGGCCCGCGGCGCAUUAGCUAGUUGGUGAGGUAACGGCUCACCAAGGCGACGAUGAUGUAGCCGCCCUGAGAGGGUGAUCGGCCCCAUUGGGAUUGAGACACGUCCCAGACUCUUACGGGAGGCACCAGUGGGGAAUAUUGCACAAUGGGGGAAACCCUGAUGCAGCAACGCCGCGUGAGUGAUGACGGCCUUCGGGUUGUAAAGUUCUGUCUUCAGGGACGAUAAUGACGGUACCUGAGGAGGAAGCCACGGCUAAUUACGUGCCAGCAGCCGCGGUAAUACGUAGGUGCCGAGCGUUUUCCGGAUUUACUGGGCGUAAAGGGAGCGUAGGCGGAUUUUUAAUUGAGAUGUGAAAUACUCGGGCUUAACCUGAGUGCUGCAUUUCAAACUGGAAGUCUAGAGUGCAGGAGAGGAGAAGGGAAUUCCUAGUGUAGCGGUGAAAUGCGUAGAGAUUAGGAAGAACACCAGUGGCGAAGGCGCUUCUCUGGACUGUAACUGACGCUGAGGCUCGAAAGCGUGGGGAGCAACCAGGAUUAGAUACCCUGGUAGUCCACGCCGUAAACGAUGAAUACUAGGUGUAGGGGUUGUCAUGACCUCUGUGCCGCCGCUAACGCAU